RNAcentral lists this ribosomal RNA (465 nucleotides) under Vreelandella stevensii. Its description in RNAcentral is "partial 16S ribosomal RNA". It matches the Rfam family "Bacterial small subunit ribosomal RNA", at positions 338 to 795 of the family's 1533-position model. Lineage: Bacteria; Pseudomonadati; Pseudomonadota; Gammaproteobacteria; Oceanospirillales; Halomonadaceae. The record is from RNAcentral.
CCUACGGGUGGCUGCAGUGGGGAAUAUUGGACAAUGGGCGAAAGCCUGAUCCAGCCAUGCCGCGUGUGUGAAGAAGGCCUUCGGGUUGUAAAGCACUUUCAGUGGGGAAGAAAGCCUUGGGGCUAAUACCCUCGAGGAAGGACAUCACCCACAGAAGAAGCACCGGCUAACUCCGUGCCAGCAGCCGCGGUAAUACGGAGGGUGCGAGCGUUAAUCGGAAUUACUGGGCGUAAAGCGCGCGUAGGCGGUCUGAUAAGCCGGUUGUGAAAGCCCCGGGCUCAACCUGGGAAUGGCAUCCGGAAAUGCCAGGCUAGAGUGCAGGAGAGGAAGGUAGAAUUCCCGGUGUAGCGGUGAAAUGCGUAGAGAUCGGGAGGAAUACCAGUGGCGAAGGCGGCCUUCUGGACUGACACUGACGCUGAGGUGCGAAAGCGUGGGUAGCAAACAGGAUUAGAUACCCGAGUAGUC